This 289-nucleotide unclassified non-coding RNA is filed under the name fungal sp. Its description in RNAcentral is "partial internal transcribed spacer region". Lineage: Eukaryota; Fungi. The record is from RNAcentral.
AGUCGUUUCCGUAGGUGAACCUGCGGAAGGAUCAUUAACCCGUAUCCAACGUAAAAACCCCCUAAAUGAGAAGUUACAGUUACGAUUGAGCGGAGAUAGCUGCAUGACAUCCCGAAAGCAGUCAGUGUCUGAAAGUGUCAUUGAUUGUCUAAGGAUCUCGCCUCCAGAGGUCGCUCACCGACCGGCAGACAUGCAACCGGGUCCCCACGCCCCGUUACAACCUGUGAGUCGCGGGAAACUAGCGGCUAAAAACCUCGAACAACUGUUAACAAUGGAUAUCUUGGUUCUC